ACUGCCCGCCCGCGCCCGGCCAGACGGCGGCACAGGGCCAGGCAGCGGCUCUGGGCGCGCUCCGUGCUACAGCUCCCGUGGGAAACGCCGCUGGACCAACUUCCAGCUCUGUUACCMUACUAAAACAUGCAUUCUACACAAAUGAGUGUGUCAGACCAAGCCUGCGUGAUGCGGAAUGUUCAGGUACCUGUCAGUCAGACUGUGCUGCUGCAAACCCAGCCUAUGAGCCAGCCUAUGAGCAAGAGGAAUGACAUUGUUUUCAGUGUGAAGAACUUUACACAGACCUCUCCUUUGGGAAUCAGAUGAUCAGAUCUUUCAGCACACUUCCAGUUGACUCAGAGGUGAGCAGUUAGGUGGAUUAAAUAAAAAAAAACAAACCCAUAGUCUGCUGAAUAG
Long non-coding RNA from Malurus melanocephalus (red-backed fairy wren), 396 nucleotides. RefSeq lists it as uncharacterized. The record is from RefSeq and is a predicted model, not a curated record. Lineage: Eukaryota; Metazoa; Chordata; Aves; Passeriformes; Maluridae. The transcript has 3 exons.